UUCACUUUAAAUGGGUAUACUGUAUGGUAUGUGAAUUAUAAUCGCAAUGAAUCUAUUCUAAAAAUAUAGUUAUUGAAAAUAUAUAAUUAUAAAAAGCAUUAUGAAGCUAUUCCCCCCCACACCAGAAGCUAUUUUAAUAAAAGAUUUUAACCUACUAGAAAUAAAAGGAAAAUUAAGUAGUCAAGAGUUCUAAUCCUUCUCUGUUAACCACAGGAAACCUGGCUGUUUGGACUGGGUGUCUGUGUCAACAGACCACCACCAACCUGGAACAGUAUUUGCUAAUAACAAGCAAAGUAUUCCUGAGUAAUAAUAGCUUCUUGAUUGUUGGACUCCCAUAAAGCAGUCAUUAUUAAGCUUUUUAACUUUUUUUUUGUUGGGGUGGGGGUGGUGUGCGUAAAGUAUUGCAUUAUGUUUACUUUAGUAUAUAUUGCCACCAGUUUUUCCAAAUCUGAUCUUUGAGAAUCUGGUAUAAACUAUGGUUCUUCUGUCCCCCAAAUGUGCUUAAGCACAAAUACAUACAUGCAAUAUUAUACGUAUUUUAGGAUGUACAUAGAUCCCCUGAAACCAACCAAUGCAGCUCAGUUUCUAUAAAAUUAAAGCAAGGUCACAGGAAUUAACAGUGGCUUUUAUUUAUCCAGACUUCUGCUCAGCACAAUCAUAUGCUCAUAAAUAUAUGACUUGACAGUUCCAAAGACCUGCAGUAUGGCUGGUUGGGGUAUAAAUUGGUACAACAUACUUUGGAAAGCUGGUGGCAAUAUAUACUAAAGCUGUACAUAAUCCAAAACCCAUGACCUUGCAAUCCCUCUCCUAGGUAUAUAUACCCGAUUGAAAUGCAUUCUUUGCGAUGCGGGUAAAGAGGGGAUGGUUAAUGGGUACACAAAAUAUAGAAAGAAAAGUAAGAUCUAGUAUUUGCUAUCACAACAGGGUGACUAUAGUAAAAAAUAAUUGUUCAUUAAAAAAUAACUAAAAGAGAGGCCAGGUGCGGUGGCUCAUGCCUGGCCUCCCAAAGUGCUUGGAUUACGGGAGUGAGCCACCAUUCCCAGCUAGCCACCUCAUUUAAAAUAGUAUUACUUGGCCGGGUGCAGUGGCUGACGCCUGUAAUUCCAGCACUUUGGGAGGCCGAGGCGGGUUGGGAUCAAGCCAGCCUGGCGAACAUGGUGAAACCUCAACUCUCCUAAAAUUACAAAAUUAGUAAUCGAGACCAUUCUGGGUAACAUGGUGAAAUCCCAUCUCUACUAAAAAUACAAAAAAUUAGC
Molecule: long non-coding RNA, 1256 nt
Filed under: Homo sapiens (human)
Lineage: Eukaryota; Metazoa; Chordata; Mammalia; Primates; Hominidae
Description: LNC_000159
Source: RNAcentral